UUUCCUGGUUGGUGUCGCCAUAAUAUGUCAAGAUUCUGUUGGAUUUACUGCCAACAAAAAAUGCUGUCAGGGAUGCCUGACCUUCGUUGACGUGUACUUCACCGACAAGUUAAUCAACGGUUGAAAAAUCCUGUGGGGUAUACUAUCAAGGCUGCUUGACCUUCGCUGACGUGUGAAUAAACAGAGCAUUCUAUGGGUAGAUUGUCAAGGUUGCUUGACUUUCGCUGACAUGUGAAUCAACGGAACAUUGCG
This 252-nucleotide long non-coding RNA is filed under the name Panax ginseng (ginseng). RNAcentral's name for it is "long non-coding RNA (PGIN_LNC003376)". The record is from RNAcentral. Lineage: Eukaryota; Viridiplantae; Streptophyta; Magnoliopsida; Apiales; Araliaceae.